RNAcentral lists this ribosomal RNA (468 nucleotides) under uncultured bacterium. RNAcentral describes it as "partial 16S ribosomal RNA". It matches the Rfam family "Bacterial small subunit ribosomal RNA", at positions 28 to 507 of the family's 1533-position model. The record is from RNAcentral.
GACGAACGCUGGCGGCGUGCUUAACACAUGCAAGUCGAACGGAAAGGCCCUGCUUUUGUGGGGUGCUCGAGUGGCGAACGGGUGAGUAACACGUGAGUAACCUGCCCUUGACUUUGGGAUAACCUCAGGAAACUGGGGCUAAUACCGGAUAGGAGCUCCUGCUGCAUGGUGGGGGUUGGAAAGUUUCGGCGGUUGGGGAUGGACGCGCGGCUUAUCAGCCUGUUGGUGGGGUAGUGGCUUACCAAGGCUUUGACGGGUAGCCGGCCUGAGAGGGUGACCGGCCACAUUGGGACUGAGAUACGGCCCAGACUGCUACGGGAGGCAGCAGUGGGGAAUAUUGCACAAUGGGCGGAAGCCUGAUGCAGCAACGCCGCGUGCGGGAUGACGGCCUUCGGGUUGUAAACCGCUUUCGCCUGUGACGAAGCGUGAGUGGCGGUAAUGGGUAAAGAAGCACCGGCUAACUACGUG